GGUACAUUAUAUGUCUACCGUGGUUGUAACGAGUACAGAGAAUCAGGGUUUGGUUCUGGAGAGGCCGCCUGAGAAACGGCGACCACUUCCAAGGAAGGCAGCAGGCGCGCAAAAUUACCCACUCUCAAAACGAGGAGGUAGUGAAGAGAAAUAACGAUGUUAGUCUUUUUUAGGCUGACAAUCGGAAUGGAAAAACUCUAAAAAGGUUAUUGAUUAACAAUUGGAGGGCAAGUCUGGUGCCAGCAGCCGCGGUAAUUCCAGCUCCAAUAAGGAAAACUAAAGUUGCUGUGUUUAAAAAGCUCGUAGUUGAAUUUCGGGUAUUUGUUGCUAGUUGGUCUUUUCGGCCAUAUUGGUUAACAGAUCCUCACUUGCUGGACGGCUGGCGAUGAUCUUUAUCGGUUGUCGUCAGUUGCCAGAACGUUUACUUUGAGAAAAAUUAGAGUGCUAAAAGCAGGCUCACGCCUAUAUAUAUUGCAUGGAAUAAUGAAAUAAGAUCUCGUAUUUUAUUUCGUUGGUUUAGAAUUGAGAUAAUGAUUAA
This 538-nucleotide ribosomal RNA is filed under the name uncultured eukaryote. Its description in RNAcentral is "SSU rRNA". It matches the Rfam family "Eukaryotic small subunit ribosomal RNA", at positions 327 to 872 of the family's 1831-position model. The record is from RNAcentral.